UACAGAGGUCGCAAGCGUUGUUCGGAAUUACUGGGCGUAAAGGGCGCGUAGGCGGCCGAUCAAGUCAGAUGUGAAAGUCCUGGGCUUAACCUGGGGACUGCAUUUGAUACUGAUUGGCUUGAAUGCAGGAGAGGAUAGCUGAAUUCCCAGUGUAGAGGUGAAAUUCGUAGAUAUUGGGAAGAACACCGGUGGCGAAGGCGGCUAUCUGGACUGUGAUUGACGCUGAGGCGCGAAAGCGUGGGGAGCAAACAGG
Molecule: ribosomal RNA, 253 nt
Filed under: uncultured bacterium
Lineage: Bacteria
Description: partial 16S ribosomal RNA
Rfam family: Bacterial small subunit ribosomal RNA
Source: RNAcentral